Amphiprion ocellaris (clown anemonefish) is the source of this 1686-nucleotide long non-coding RNA. The record is from Ensembl. Lineage: Eukaryota; Metazoa; Chordata; Actinopteri; Pomacentridae.
UAGGGCUGAUAUAUGGCCUGUGGUGGUGCGGACCGUAAACGCGGCCGAGUCUGCUGCAGCCUUCCUGCCGGUCGGCUGAAGGGCGCUUCUCACUCAUCGGUCAGGCUGCCAGGAGCGAACACAGCUCGGACCGGAGCUCGGUGGAGGCACCGGGGGAGGCUGGAAGCACGGAUUUGUGUCCGCUUGUACUCGCUCAGCAAUGUUUGAGGGAUAAAAUCACGCUUUUAAUGAGGAGACUGGAGAGUCAGCAUCACUCUGGACUGCUCAGACAUUUGACUUCCAUCUGACCUUUGUCAAAGUCACCGGGAUCACUAAAGAACUACAGACUCUUCACAACCUGCUCAAACUCUUGGUACAGGACCUCACCACACAGGUCAAGAAGGUUUCCGUCUCAUUUCUACUCUGAAGCUCACCUUCUCCUGCUCAAACUGCUGACAAAUGUUUCUGCUGCUCUAAAGUCUGGUCUCCAGAACUUCCUAAAAACUCUCAAAGUCUCUUCUGCUGCAGGUUGCUUUGUAGAACUGUUCCAGAAAACCUCACUAAAUCACAUGGAGGGGCCUCAAGAUAGUCAUCCAAAUGAAACUGUACAAAAACCAAACUAGCACAAUCCAAACACUAAAGUCUCCUGCAGCCUACCAGAGAACCUCUGAGAACAGAGAAUCAGGACAGGAACUCUUACCUUCUGGACAACCAACGUUGCUUCUCAAACAAGAAUACAGAAUGUGUCUGACCAGAAACCUCUGAAGACUCACUACAGCCAACACAAAGACACAACUCAGCUGUACCAAAUCCACUAAUCACUGCACACAUUAGAACCAUGUGCUAACUGUGGCUAAAGAACCACAUUUACCAAGACAACUAUCCAGUACAAAGCCCUAAAACACACCAAGAAACACAUUAAAGACUAUUUUACUGCUGGAAGCUGCAAGCCAACACCUAAAGAACACACUAAAGCAACGGAAACAAACCCGGUUCUGUGGUGAAGAGAAGCAGAGGAAAUGUUUGUCUGCAGCUAAAUAAAGCAGGAAGACACUGAGCUGCUCAGGUGUUCCUGAUAACACCAAGCAGCCACCUGGACAGCCAAUAGGAACACAGCCACCUGGACAGCCAAUAGGAACACAGCUUCCUGGAAGUCCAGAGGGCUGGGUUAGUCAAGGAAAUUUAAUUUAAAGUUGAAGCAGAAAGUUAACAAAGAAAGUUGAAAACCACCUUCUGAUCCCUGAAAUCUCUGAGUUUUCACACAAAGAACACCUGAACAUGUCAAACUGGUUCCAUAGUAGAACCCUCAUUGUAAAAACAUCAUAGUAUGGUGUGUUGCUCAAAAAACAUUAGGACCCGGCUGUCAGGGGACAAACAUGUAAGAAACAUGAGAACAGAGAGAACCCAACCAGUAGGUCACAGUUUAUCAUCAUCUAAUCAUCUCCUGAAGUCCAUAUGGUGAGAGACAUCAGUAUCUGGUUGUUAAUUUACCAGAGGAUGCUUAUAAUCAUGCUGCUGUGGUCUGUACUCUACAGUAUUUUAGAGACUCAAUAAAUGCCUAAGUUGUUUUUUUUUAAAUGCUUUUUAGUUUUUAAUAAACAUUUAACAGUCUAUAUGUAAUCAAUAAAUGGCCUUUGCCUAUCUUAAGAAAAAUUCACUCAGAACUCUGAUAUGUUAACAGUACUAAAUAAAUCAAUAAAUACAUGC